GGGGAAUCUUCCGCAAUGGACGAAAGUCUGACGGAGCAACGCCGCGUGAGUGAUGACGGCCUUCGGGUUGUAAAGCUCUGUUAAUCGGGACGAAUGGUUCUUGUGCAAAUAGUGCGAGGAUUUGACGGUACCGGAAUAGAAAGCCACGGCUAACUACGUGCCAGCAGCCGCGGUAAUACGUAGGUGGCAAGCGUUGUCCGGAAUUAUUGGGCGUAAAGCGCGCGCAGGCGGAUUGGUCAGUCUGUCUUAAAAGUUCGGGGCUUAACCCCGUGAUGGGAUGGAAACUGCCAAUCUAGAGUAUCGGAGAGGAAAGUGGAAUUCCUAGUGUAGCGGUGAAAUGCGUAGAUAUUAGGAAGAACACCAGUGGCGAAGGCGACUUUCUGGACGAAAACUGACGCUGAGGCGCGAAAGCCAGGGGAGCGAACGGGAUUAGAUACCCCGGUAGUCCUGGCCGUAAACGAUGGGUACUAGGUGUAGGAGGUAUCGACCCCUUCUGUGCCGGAGUUAACGCAAUAAGUACCCCGCCUGGGGAGUACGACUGCAAGGUUG
This 549-nucleotide ribosomal RNA is filed under the name uncultured bacterium. RNAcentral's name for it is "bacterial SSU rRNA". It matches the Rfam family "Bacterial small subunit ribosomal RNA", at positions 356 to 896 of the family's 1533-position model. The record is from RNAcentral.